Podarcis lilfordi (Lilford's wall lizard) is the source of this 74-nucleotide non-coding RNA. The record is from the annotation of a GenBank genome assembly. Lineage: Eukaryota; Metazoa; Chordata; Lepidosauria; Squamata; Lacertidae.
ACCAGAAAUAGUUCAGUCAGUAGAGCGUGGGAGUCUUAAUCUCAGGGUCAUGGGUUUGAGCCACACAUUGGGCA